RNAcentral lists this ribosomal RNA (259 nucleotides) under uncultured bacterium. Its description in RNAcentral is "partial 16S ribosomal RNA". It matches the Rfam family "Bacterial small subunit ribosomal RNA", at positions 524 to 779 of the family's 1533-position model. The record is from RNAcentral.
GACGAACCGUGCGAACGUUGUUCGGAAUCACUGGGCUUAAAGGGCGCGUAGGCGGCUUCGCAAGUCGGGGGUGAAAUCUUUCGGCUCAACCGGAAAAGUGCCUCCGAUACUGUGGAGCUCGAGGGAGGUAGGGGCAGACGGAACUUCCGGUGGAGCGGUGAAAUGCGUUGAUAUCGGAAGGAACGCCGGUGGCGAAAGCGGUCUGCUGGCCCUCUACUGACGCUGACGGCGCGAAAGCCAGGGGAGCAAAGCGGGGAUU